UGAUGACUUGUUUGAGUUUGAUUAUUGUUGUUGGGCCUUGGUCAAGGUUGAUUUGACUUUGUCAAAUUAAUAUCAUUGGAUUUAGGGGAUUGAUGGAAUGUACAUUCCAUCUCCCAAAAUGAAUGGAUGAUAUUAAUUUGGUAAAAGUCCUCCUUUGACCAAUUUGUGUUUUGAUUCAUUCCCCUCCCACUUCAUCUUAUUCCCC
Molecule: long non-coding RNA, 205 nt
Filed under: Lathyrus oleraceus (garden pea)
Lineage: Eukaryota; Viridiplantae; Streptophyta; Magnoliopsida; Fabales; Fabaceae
Description: Pisum sativum (pea) long non-coding RNA (PSAT_LNC021941)
Source: RNAcentral